CCUGGCUUUCAGAACAAGACUUCGUCUCAAGCUCCAAGAUCGAGUGCUCCGUAUCACCAUCCACUUUCAGAGGUCACGUGCAACAAGUGCCAACAGAAGGGUCACUAUGCCAACAAAUGCUUCAAUCAGAGGCGUCUCCCUCCUCCUCCUCCUAUGAGAUCGGCAAGUACAGCUGUGGUCAAGCAUAACCCCAAGCACGCCAAGGUCAACUUGUUGAACGCAGCUCAGGCAGAGGACUCGCCAGAUGUCAUCAUGGGUAACCUUCCUGUUAACGAUGUUCCUACAAAAGUUCUUUUUGACACUGGUGCAUCACUUUCU
This 318-nucleotide ribosomal RNA is filed under the name Triticum aestivum (bread wheat). Its description in RNAcentral is "partial small subunit ribosomal RNA". The record is from RNAcentral. Lineage: Eukaryota; Viridiplantae; Streptophyta; Magnoliopsida; Poales; Poaceae.